UUUCAUUCUUGUUGCCCAGGCUGGAGUGCUGUGGUGCAAUCUCUGUUCACUGCAACCUCCUCCUCCCGGGUUCAAACGAUUCUCCUGCUUCAACCUCCUGGGUAGCUGGGAUUACAGGCACCCACCACCACGCCCAGCUAAUUUUUGUAUUUUUAGUACAGAUGGGGUUUCAUCAUAUUGGUCAGGCUGGUCUCAAAUUCCUGACCUCAGGUGAUCCACCCACUUUGGCCUCCCAAAGUGCUGGGAUUACAGGCAUGAGCCACCGCGCCUAGCCUUGGGGCCUCUGUUUUUUGUGUGUGUUGAGAGGGCUGUAGAAAGGUUUUCACCAGGUCAAGACUGAGAAGUUGCAGGACCACGUUCUGGACCCAGGGCUCUGGCGGGCUUCACCCGGUGUCUUCACACCUCUAUCCCUAAUGCCUCACCAGCGCCCUCUAUUGAGAAUUCUUGGCAUUGUGCUCACUUUUUUUUUUUUUUUUUUUUUUUUUUUCUGGCGUAACGAGACUUUACUGAAAACAGAAAACCGGGCGAACCAAGGAUUACAAACAGGAAUGUGGACUCGUAGCAAAACAAAACAAAACAGAAAAAGGAGGGGGGACCGGUCGAAAGAACCGAAGGGGGAAGCGAGAUCGAGGAAAGGGGCGGAGAAUUUUUUUUCUUCUUCCCAUUUCUUUAAAAAACCAACACAAGAAAACACACACACACACAACCAACGUUUGUUCCCAAGUAGAAACAUAAAUAGGGCAGAAUCGAACACUCUGUUCUUCUCUCUUCCAAAGGAAAAAAAAAAAAAAGUUAAAGGAAAAGAAAGGCUGGGUUUGAGGCUGCGCCCCCUCGGAGCCCCCUUCCGCUGCGCGGUGUACAAGGUGGCAGCCGAGACGCGCGGGUUUGUGCAACACAGGGCGGCCGCGCGGGGGACAGAGGCAGCGCGAGGGCGGGGGGUCAUGCGCUCGCCCCCCCGGGAGCAGGGGGUCCAGCUUGUCGAGUCCGGGGCGCCCACGACACCCCCCCGCGAGCCCGCCCCUCGGGGAGGGUGGCCGCGCAUGCGCCCCGCGCGCGGACUCAGUACGCGGGCACCUGGUGCUGGGGCAGCAGCUGGCAGCCGCUGUUGACGUGGCUGAGGACUUUCUGCUUGAGCUGCGCCACCUGCUCGCGCAGCAGGCUUGCAGUGGACGCCAGCUCCGUGUUCUGGCUCUUAAGGGUCUUCACUUUCUCCUCCAGGCGCGAGAUGCGCUCCAGCUUGCGCUUGCGGCACUUGGAGGCGGCGAUGCGGUUGCGCAGCCGCUUGCGCUCCGCCUUGAUGCGCUCCUGCGUGUCCAUGUCGAUGGGUGACAGCGGCGGGCUCUCACCGAAGCUCGGCACGUCGGGCACCGUCUGUGGUUCGUCCUUGAGCGCAGCCAGGCGCGGCGGCCCCAACGCGCCCGGGGGUGGCGGCGGCGGGAAGGGCACGGGUUCGGCGGCGAAGGCGACCGUCCCGGCGCCCCCCGCGCCCCCGGCGCCGCCCGCGUAGCUACUCAGGUUCGCGUAGACGGGCGCCUCGGGCGCGGCCGCCGCCGGGGCCAGCUCGCCGGGGGGCGCGGAGCC
Molecule: long non-coding RNA, 1581 nt
Organism: Piliocolobus tephrosceles (Ugandan red Colobus)
Lineage: Eukaryota; Metazoa; Chordata; Mammalia; Primates; Cercopithecidae
Source: Ensembl